AAUCAACGCUGGCGGCGUGCCUCAGACAUGCAAGUCGAACGAUUAAAGCUCUCUUCGGAGAGUGUAUAGAGUGGCGCACGGGUGAGUAACACGUAAGUAAUCUACCUUUGAGUGGGGAAUAACCCGGGGAAACCCGAGCUAAUACCGCAUAAUGCAGCGGCACCGCAAGGUGACAGUUGUUAAAGGAGCAAUCCGCUUAAAGAGGAGCUUGCGGCAGAUUAGCUAGNGGUAAGGUAAUGGCUUACCAAGGCUUCGAUCUGUAUCCGGCCUGAGAGGGCGGUCGGACACACUGACACUGAAUAACGGGUCAGACUCCUACGGGAGGCAGCAGUCGGGAAUUUUGGGCAAUGGGCGAAAGCCUGACCCAGCAACGCCGCGUGAAGGAUGAAGUAUUUCGGUAUGUAAACUUCGAAAGAAUGGGAAGAAUCAAUGACGGUACCAUUUAUAAGGUCCGGCUAACUACGUGCCAGCCGCCG
RNAcentral lists this ribosomal RNA (476 nucleotides) under uncultured bacterium. Its description in RNAcentral is "bacterial SSU rRNA". It matches the Rfam family "Bacterial small subunit ribosomal RNA", at positions 32 to 517 of the family's 1533-position model. The record is from RNAcentral.